UCCUCAUCCUCCAUUUGAGAGACAAGAAACCUCCCCGACACAAUUCAUUUCCCUUGUGGGAGUCAAGAGGAUGUUGAGGCUUUGGAAGCUGAGUUAAGUGAUGGUGCGGUUCAAAAUAACCUGGUAAGUUGUACAUUUUACAUUUUCAUGGUUUUACCUGCUGGUUCUCUGCCCCUCUCUAACUGAUCUGCAUACUUACAUGUGACAAUUACUUCCUUCAUGCUUCACAUGUGUGUGUUUCCAUAUCCCACAUACACACCAAAGAUACUCACACCCAUCAUUGUGUGCUCGUCUCAGUACUCAUAACCUCAGAUUCAGCUUCUUUUGAACAUAUAGUAAUUAAAAAUAUUUAAGAGCACCAACCUGAUAUUCAGUUGAAAAGAUUAUUUCAUUAAGGUCCCAGCAGGAACCUCAGAAAGUAACAUGGUGCCUGUAUACUGUGGUUUACAAGUUCUGUUUUACUAGUAAAAUAAGAUAAGUCGACCAAUGGCAGUGAGUUUAAAUCCUCCAACAAAUUUUCAUCUGUUGAGUUGAAACUUUCAUCCUUGAGUAUCAAAGAUAUCAGCCUUUGUAUGCCCAAUUCCCCAAAUUGAAUAGCCAUCUCCUAGGGAUGAGCCAAUAUGUGUAUUAUCAGUAUUUGCCAAUAUCCAAUAAUUCAGUAUCGACCAAUACCAAUACCAAAAUUGAUAUCUGUGCUCUGAUUAAACAGGUGUGAUAAUGCCACUCAGAUAAGGAAGUUUAUCUUACUGGAUGAAGUGCUGCCGACGUAGCCAUCAGCAGCACUGCACUUUCUAAGCUGAACUAUUAGGUAUCACAGAGGAGAGGGUAGGUUGUCCAACAGUGUGACUCAACGAAUCAUCCCAGAUGGAACUGUAUUUGGGGUGUGUCUGUUUCUGUUUCUGAACAUUUUCCAAGAUGAGCUAUCACCAUUACACAUGUUGUGCAGCAGACAGCCAAUCAUAUAUCAGCUAUCAAUACUGGCAGAAUUGCGAUCUUUUGCUGAUACCAAUACCAUGCCGAUAAUCCACUUUGCUUCAAAACAAUGACAGUUGCUACCAGCAGUUGUAUUGACAUUAAUGUUAUAGGGUGUAUGCAUUCUGGAGGUGAAACACGCAAUUUUUCUUUUAUAUCUUUUUGAAAGAGCUCAGAUCUAUGUUAACCAUUUACCCAAAUCAUCAAUCAAAAUGGCCAAAAAAUAAACCAGUGUAAGACUACUACAGCUUGAAAUUUCUUCGGACUCUCUCAGUAAAACCAUAUGGAUAUGGAUAUCUUUAGAACCGGCUCAUCAAGCAACUUUUUUAUUUCAUUUAAUUUGCCACAAAGGCAGUACACAGAGAAGCUACUUCUUACAAUAUCAGUAUCUGUAUGGUUUUGUUGAAAAAUUGUAAGAAUUAUCUUUGAAAAAUGGAGAUAUGCCAGUUUGGCUUUCAGAGUGUUGUGAUUAACCACUAUGCAAAGACACCGAAUGUUAUAUAUGUGAGGAUAACUGCUGGCAGAUCCUCAUGCAGGUACACCUGUGUCCACAUAUAACCCUAAAAAUGAAAAUCGUGCUACAGGCUUUAGCAAUUUCUAAGUCAGGGUUCCCGUUGGUCCUUGAAUUCCUUGAAUACCCUUGAAUUUCAAAAGUAAAAUUCUAAACCUGGAAAGCCCUUGAAAAUUAUCCAGACACACAGAAAUCCUUGAAAAUUUAGGAUUUUUAUUUAAAAGUUUUAUAUCCAGUCUACUCUCCAUACUACAGAAGAAAAUGUUCUACUUAAACCAAUAGUCUGAAUUCAUAUUUGAAAUGUUUCCAUGUCAGUGUUGUCUGUCUGUACAGGCAGCCAACACUGGUGUGGAAACAUUGCUACACAUUAGUUGACAACUUAAGGAAAUAAAUUGGGCGAUAUUUAAACAUUAUAAUUUGAGGACCUAAGUAGUGUAAAUAGUUUUGUUUUAUCAGAAAAAUGUCCUUGGAAACUCUUGAACUUUUGUGGAGUGGUUGCGAUGACCCUUGAAUCUAGCUUGAAAAUACCCUUGAAAACUCUUGAAUUUUCUUUUUAAAAACUUGCAGGAACCCUGUUAAUUGUUUUUGAUGUUUGACAAAAAGGCUAUUAUUCUACAUUUUGCUUUACAUUUGAGCAUAUAGUUUAUCCUUUGCUCAUAGUGUAUUGAAAAUGACUUAAUUUUUAAAUUUUGAUUUGCAGUCAUUGGACUGAAAAUGGCCCUGGGCUGGGCAUAUGAUGAUAUUAAUAUUCACUUUGAGUACUGUUUUAGCCAGACUGUGGGGUGGGGGAGAGUGGUUGUACUAGCUUUGGUAGCUUCUGACAUAAAACAGUAGCGAACAUAUAUGAAUGUUUUUAUCUGUUUUCAAUUAGUCAAAUCCAUGUAAUUUAUGCUAGUAGAUUUUUGCCUUUGUGAAUAGUACGAGUAAAUGGAUGUGAGUGCAUUUGUUAUUCUCACACUAAGAACUACUUUUAAGUAACAUAAUUAAUUAAUUUCAGGGGCUGUUUGCAAGACUAUGCAAAAUGCAACAGAAGCAGUGGUUGAGUUGGUGACUUGAGAAUGGCUUCUGACUGCUAGUGACAGAAAUGGUGGCCAAAAGAAGAAAGAAAAAAAAUUUGGACAAGGCUCUUCUUGACAAUGAAUCUGCCACAGAUCUCAGGUCUGCACAAAUUGAAAAUUAAGAUAACCCAUUAAUGGGUUACCUUAAUUUUUUAAGGCAAUCCAUUUUAGCAAUGCACUUGUAACAAUAUGCUGAAUAGCUUUGCAUACAUGGCUUGGUCUUCCAUUCAAAUUACUCAUU
Molecule: long non-coding RNA, 2782 nt
Filed under: Octopus vulgaris (common octopus)
Lineage: Eukaryota; Metazoa; Mollusca; Cephalopoda; Octopoda; Octopodidae
Source: RNAcentral